This 460-nucleotide ribosomal RNA is filed under the name uncultured bacterium. RNAcentral describes it as "partial 16S ribosomal RNA". It matches the Rfam family "Bacterial small subunit ribosomal RNA", at positions 338 to 795 of the family's 1533-position model. The record is from RNAcentral.
CCUACGGGGGGCAGCAGUGAGGAAUAUUGGUCAAUGGACGAAAGUCUGAACCAGCCAUGUAGCGUGCAGGAAGACGGCCCUAUGGGUUGUAAACUGCUUUUGUACGGGAGUAAAACGCGGUACGUGUACCGGUUUGAAUGUACCGUACGAAUAAGGAUCGGCUAACUCCGUGCCAGCAGCCGCGGUAAUACGGAGGAUUCGAGCGUUAUCCGGAUUUAUUGGGUUUAAAGGGUGCGUAGGCGGGUCGUUAAGUCAGUGGUGAAAUUCUGGGGCUCAACCCCAACACUGCAAUUGAUACUGGCAGGCUUGAGUAUAGUUGCGGUAGGCGGAAUUCGUGGUGUAGCGGUGAAAUGCUUAGAUAUCACGAAGAACCCCGAUUGCGAAGGCAGCUUGCUGGACUGUAACUGACGCUGAUGCUCGAAAGUGUGGGUAUCAAACAGGAUUAGAUACCCUAGUAGUC